UUUCCGUAGGUGAACCUGCGGAAGGAUCAUUCAUAAUAAAGUGUUUUAUGGCACUUUUUAAAAAUCCAUAUCCACCUUGUGUGCAAUGUUAGAUCUCGUCAAUCUUGGCGAGAUUUUUAUACAUCAACUCAUUUUUUAACUAAUUUGUCUGAAAAAUAUUAUGGAUACUUAAUUCAAAAUACAACUUUCAACAACGGAUCUCUUGGCUCUC
Molecule: unclassified non-coding RNA, 211 nt
Filed under: plant metagenome
Description: partial contains small subunit ribosomal RNA, internal transcribed spacer 1, and 5.8S ribosomal RNA
Source: RNAcentral